This 70-nucleotide transfer RNA is filed under the name Devario devario (Sind dario). Its description in RNAcentral is "tRNA-Trp". It matches the Rfam family "tRNA". From Rfam's summary of the family: Transfer RNA (tRNA) molecules are approximately 80 nucleotides in length. Their secondary structure includes four short double-helical elements and three loops (D, anti-codon, and T loops). The record is from RNAcentral. Lineage: Eukaryota; Metazoa; Chordata; Actinopteri; Cypriniformes; Danionidae.
AGGGGCUUAGGAUAAUUGAGACCAAGGGCCUUCAAAGCCCUAAGUAAAAGUGAGAACCUUUUAGCCCCUG